CAUUGCUGUGGCCACUCCAAUGUGCUGUGACUUUCAGCUUAAUCUAACUUGGGGUGUUAUAUGACUGAGUUCCUACAGAAUACCAUAGGCUCCAGAAGACCAAAAGCUUGAAGGAUGCAGCUAGUUUAAGCAUGGCCAAAACUGGGAGUUCAGGUCCCCUUUGAGAGGAGCUUGUCUCUAUCUACUCCACAGGAUGCCGGUCUUUCUAGCAAUGUGGCCAGACUUCUUACAAAACAGCUCCAAGAGGGAACAUUGCAAAUGGCAAAGAAGGAAGCUGGAGAUCUCUGAAGGCCAACCUUGGAAGUCACACAGCAUCACUUCUAGCACAUUUUGUUGGUUAAAGUAAAGGAGCUCUCUCAACGUCCAUUCCUGGGGAGGGAGGGAAAGAGCAUCAGAAGUCUGAGUGUGGAGCCUUCCAAAUGUUACCUGAUGUGUCUUUCUCUCUUGCUGAUCCUGCC
Long non-coding RNA from Symphalangus syndactylus (siamang), 458 nucleotides. RefSeq lists it as uncharacterized. The record is from RefSeq and is a predicted model, not a curated record. NCBI's taxonomy places the organism in Eukaryota, Metazoa, Chordata, Mammalia, Primates, Hylobatidae.